Xyrichtys novacula (pearly razorfish) is the source of this 279-nucleotide non-coding RNA. NCBI's taxonomy places the organism in Eukaryota, Metazoa, Chordata, Actinopteri, Labriformes, Labridae. The record is from the annotation of a GenBank genome assembly.
GUCUUGGGUUCUGGUUCUGGUGGUUCUGGUAGUUCACUGCCUGAUAGUUCAGGCAGUGAAACAUCCACAUCAGUCACUGCCUGUGAGACGUUUGUCCACGUCUCUGUCAGAAGAUCCUGGAGUUUCUCUCUGAGCUCUGACACAGCUGCUGUCACCUCCUCAAAGUAUCUCUGAGGACGGAUGUUGAUUCUGGAUGAGUCUGCAGGUUGACCCGGUUCUGACAGUGAGGGGUAGCUAUGCAGAAACUGGUUGUGGUCCUCUGUGAGUGAGAGCUUCUGC